Molecule: ribosomal RNA, 468 nt
Filed under: uncultured bacterium
Lineage: Bacteria
Description: partial 16S ribosomal RNA
Rfam family: Bacterial small subunit ribosomal RNA
Source: RNAcentral
GACGAACGCUGGCGGCGUGCUUAACACAUGCAAGUCGAACGGAAAGGCCCUGCUUUUGUGGGGUGCUCGAGUGGCGAACGGGUGAGUAACACGUGAGUAACCUGCCCUUGACUUUGGGAUAACUUCAGGAAACUGGGGCUAAUACCGGAUAGGAGCUCCUGCUGCAUGGUGGGGGUUGGAAAGUUUCGGCGGUUGGGGAUGGACUCGCGGCUUAUCGGCUUGUUGGUGGGGUAGUGGCUUACCAAGGCUUUGACGGGUAGCCGGCCUGAGAGGGUGACCGGCGACAUUGGGACUGAGAGACGGCCCAGACGCCUACGGGAGGCAGCAGGGGGGAGUAUUGCACAAUGGGCGGAAGCCUGAUGCAGCAACGCCGCGUGCGGGAUGACGGCCUUCGGGUUGUAAACCGCUUUCGCAUGUGACGAAGCGUGAGUGACGGUAAUGGGUAAAGAAGCACCGGCUAACUACGUG